UACGUAGGGGGCAAGCGUUGUCCGGAAUCAUUGGGCGUAAAGAGCGUGUAGGCGGCUCGAUAAGUCUGCUGUGAAAGUCCAGGGCUCAACCCUGGAAGGCCGGUGGAAACUGUCGGGCUAGAGUCCGGAAGAGGCGAGUGGAAUUCCCGGUGUAGCGGUGAAAUGCGCAGAUAUCGGGAGGAACACCAAUGGCGAAGGCAGCUCGCUGGGACGGUACUGACGCUGAGACGCGAAGGCGUGGGGAGCGAACAGG
This 253-nucleotide ribosomal RNA is filed under the name uncultured bacterium. RNAcentral describes it as "partial 16S ribosomal RNA". It matches the Rfam family "Bacterial small subunit ribosomal RNA", at positions 524 to 776 of the family's 1533-position model. The record is from RNAcentral.